GACAGAGGGUGCAGACGUUGUUCGGAAUUACUGGGCGUAAAGCGCGUGUAGGCGGCUAAGUAAGUCGGGCGUGAAAUCCCACGGCUCAACCGUGGAAGUGCACUCGAAACUGCAUAGCUAGAGUCCUGGAGAGGAAGGUGGAAUGCUUGGUGUAGAGGUGAAAUUCGUAGAUAUCAAGCGGAACACCGGUGGCGAAGGCGGCCUUCUGGACAGUGACUGACGCUGAGACGCGAAAGCGUGGGGAGCAAACAGG
Molecule: ribosomal RNA, 253 nt
Filed under: uncultured bacterium
Lineage: Bacteria
Description: partial 16S ribosomal RNA
Rfam family: Bacterial small subunit ribosomal RNA
Source: RNAcentral